This 398-nucleotide ribosomal RNA is filed under the name uncultured bacterium. Its description in RNAcentral is "partial 16S ribosomal RNA". It matches the Rfam family "Bacterial small subunit ribosomal RNA", at positions 523 to 918 of the family's 1533-position model. The record is from RNAcentral.
AUACGUAGGGUGCGAGCGUUGUCCGGAAUUACUGGGCGUAAAGAGCUCGUAGGUGGUUUGUCGCGUCGUCUGUGAAAUUCCGGGGCUUAACUCCGGGCGUGCAGGCGAUACGGGCAUAACUUGAGUACUGUAGGGGAGACUGGAAUUCCUGGUGUAGAGGUGAAAUGCGCAGAUAUCAGGAGGAACACCGGUGGCGAAGGCGGGUCUCUGGGCAUUAACUGACGCUGAGGAGCGAAAGCAUGGGUAGCGAACAGGAUUAGAUACCCUGGUAGUCCAUGCCGUAAACGGUGGGCGCUAGGUGUAGGGGUCUUCCACGACUUCUGUGCCGUAGCUAACGCAUUAAGCGCCCCGCCUGGGGAGUACGGCCGCAAGGCUAAAACUCAAAGGAAUCGACGGGG